This 200-nucleotide unclassified non-coding RNA is filed under the name soil metagenome. RNAcentral's name for it is "partial contains internal transcribed spacer 2 and large subunit ribosomal RNA". The record is from RNAcentral.
GACCAAGCUUAGGCUUGAUUUUGAGGUUGCGGCUUCGGCUGCAGCCUUUAAGAGAGGUGGCGGCGUCCGAUGGGCUCUAAGCGUAGUAAUUUCUCCUCGCUACAGAGUCUGCCGGCGCAUUUGGUACUCACUCCAAGCCAACCAAACCCCCCCAAUUUUAGUUUGACCUCGGAUCAAGUAGGGAUACCCGCUGAACUUAA